RNAcentral lists this ribosomal RNA (164 nucleotides) under Ulmus parvifolia (Chinese elm). Its description in RNAcentral is "5.8S ribosomal RNA". It matches the Rfam family "5.8S ribosomal RNA". From Rfam's summary of the family: 5.8S ribosomal RNA (5.8S rRNA) is a component of the large subunit of the eukaryotic ribosome. It is transcribed by RNA polymerase I as part of the 45S precursor that also contains 18S and 28S rRNA. RNAcentral also lists the same sequence under 6 other names. Lineage: Eukaryota; Viridiplantae; Streptophyta; Magnoliopsida; Rosales; Ulmaceae. The record is from RNAcentral.
AAAACGACUCUCGGCAACGGAUAUCUCGGCUCUCGCAUCGAUGAAGAACGUAGCGAAAUGCGAUACUUGGUGUGAAUUGCAGAAUCCCGUGAACCAUCGAGUCUUUGAACGCAAGUUGCGCCCGAAGCCAUCCGGCCGAGGGCACGUCUGCCUGGGCGUCACAC